This 761-nucleotide ribosomal RNA is filed under the name Bacillus zhangzhouensis. RNAcentral's name for it is "bacterial SSU rRNA". It matches the Rfam family "Bacterial small subunit ribosomal RNA", at positions 79 to 825 of the family's 1533-position model. The record is from RNAcentral. Lineage: Bacteria; Bacillati; Bacillota; Bacilli; Caryophanales; Bacillaceae.
CUUGCUCCCGGAUGUUAGCGGCGGACGGGUGAGUAACACGUGGGUAACCUGCCUGUAAGACUGGGAUAACUCCGGGAAACCGGAGCUAAUACCGGAUAGUUCCUUGAACCGCAUGGUUCAAGGAUGAAAGACGGUUUCGGCUGUCACUUACAGAUGGACCCGCGGCGCAUUAGCUAGUUGGUGGGGUAAUGGCUCACCAAGGCGACGAUGCGUAGCCGACCUGAGAGGGUGAUCGGCCACACUGGGACUGAGACACGGCCCAGACUCCUACGGGAGGCAGCAGUAGGGAAUCUUCCGCAAUGGACGAAAGUCUGACGGAGCAACGCCGCGUGAGUGAUGAAGGUUUUCGGAUCGUAAAGCUCUGUUGUUAGGGAAGAACAAGUGCGAGAGUAACUGCUCGCACCUUGACGGUACCUAACCAGAAAGCCACGGCUAACUACGUGCCAGCAGCCGCGGUAAUACGUAGGUGGCAAGCGUUGUCCGGAAUUAUUGGGCGUAAAGGGCUCGCAGGCGGUUUCUUAAGUCUGAUGUGAAAGCCCCCGGCUCAACCGGGGAGGGUCAUUGGAAACUGGGAAACUUGAGUGCAGAAGAGGAGAGUGGAAUUCCACGUGUAGCGGUGAAAUGCGUAGAGAUGUGGAGGAACACCAGUGGCGAAGGCGACUCUCUGGUCUGUAACUGACGCUGAGGAGCGAAAGCGUGGGGAGCGAACAGGAUUAGAUACCCUGGUAGUCCACGCCGUAAACGAUGAGUGCUAAGUGUUA